AACGAACGCUGGCGGCAUGCCUAACACAUGCAAGUCGAACGAGACCUUCGGGUCUAGUGGCGCACGGGUGCGUAACGCGUGGGAACCUGCCUUUAGGUUCGGAAUAACUCAGAGAAAUUUGAGCUAAUACCGGAUAAUGUCUUCGGACCAAAGAUUUAUCGCCUUUAGAUGGGCCCGCGUUGGAUUAGCUAGUUGGUGGGUAAAGCCUACCAAGGCGACGAUCCAUAGCUGGUCUGAGAGGAUGAUCAGCCACACUGGGACUGAGACACGGCCCAGACUCCUACGGAGGCAGCAGUGGGGAAUAUUGGACAAUGGGCGAAAGCCUGAUCCAGCAAUG
This 337-nucleotide ribosomal RNA is filed under the name uncultured bacterium. RNAcentral describes it as "bacterial SSU rRNA". It matches the Rfam family "Bacterial small subunit ribosomal RNA", at positions 29 to 396 of the family's 1533-position model. The record is from RNAcentral.